GCACAAUUAUAGAAAUCACGGUUUCAUUCUCUUUCCAAAACCUUAUCUCAAUCUCACAAAUCUUCAAUUGACGCUGCACUUUUCGAUUCUCUCUCGUCAAUUUGGUUAUCUCAAGAACCAACUCCCAGUUACUCUACACCAAAAGGUAUGUAGCUUAUAUUGAAAUGAUUGAUUAUCAUUCUCUACGGAUAUCUCAAGAACCAACUGUUUUCGCCAUGGAUGUUGUGUAUACUAUCAAGAAGCAAGGCCACACUCUCUAUUGUUCGUUGAUUAAAGUAUUAGGGUCUGGGUUUUUGUUAACUAAUACAUUUGGAUUUUAGACCAGUUUAUUUUGUAAACGUGUUAUGGUUGGAGCUCAACUUUAACCAAUAACUAGCUAAAAUCUGCUUAAGAUCAACGCACAAUUAAAUACAAUUAGCUAGGAAUCAAUAACUAACUCAACUUCAUACAAUAGCCAACUAAAUUUCAAUCCAAAUCAACACAAACAGUUUAAUAUGCUAAACUGGGAUUCAGUAACUUAGAUAUAAUUUUAUUGAUUGAACUGAAAUUACAUAAAACGACAUAGAUAAACACAAAACAAAGAAAGUGGGAGACAGAAUUAGAGAAAGAGAAGAGAAGAAGGAGAACUGAGAAGAAAGGGAGAUGAAGGAGCGGGAGAUGAAGAAGCAUGAGAAGAAUAAACUGGAGAGAAGCAGGAAUAAAUAGGGAAGAAGAGGAAGAAGCUGGCAAGAGAAGAAACUUACCAAAGAGGGAGAAACACAGAGAAGAAGCACAGCAACAGAAGUAGAAUGAGAUAGGAAUAGUGAAGAUAAUCGACAAAAGCCACGAUUCAAUUCAUUAAUCUACAACCCUCAUCGACUUCAAAGCCAACUAUAUGUAGAAGAAAACAACUUAAAUGUCUUGGGCUAGCCCAACUAGAUAAAUAAAAGUAAAUGGCCCAAUUGAGGGAGGUGAGCCAUGACAUCACUUCCCCUUAAAUUAACCUUGUCCUCAAGGUUCAACAUCAUGAUGUCUUCUUUGUAUGUUGUUGAAGCUGCCUCAUUCUCUUCACCAUCAUUGGAUUAAAAAUGAAAAUUUUUCAUAUGGAAACAACAGAAACACAUUUCAACCUCCAUUGGGAUUCAACAAUCAACACUCUAAGGGGAAGCCAUCUUUAGAAGACAUUCUUGGAGCUUUCAUCUUUGAGAUAAGAUCACGGUUCAACAAAGAUGAGUCGAGGUUGGAUAAUAUCAAAAUGCAUGUGUCCAACAUGGGAGCUACAACGAAAAAUCUUGAGGUUUAGAUCGGGCAAUUGGCUACAUCAGUGAAAUCCCAACAAAGGGAAAGUUUCCAAGUGACACAAAAAUAAAUUCGAACGAACAUGGUUAGGCCAUCACAUUAAGGAGUGGUAAGGAAGUUGGAGAAAAUAUGCCUAUAGAAGAAACUACUACCAUCCUUGACAAGGAGAAAGAACAGUCAAAUGCAACACAAGAAAAUCAGAUCAAAGAAGCACAGAAAGAUUACAAGCCUUAUUCUGUAUCCUUCCCUGAUAACCCACCAAUUAUCAAGUGCACACUUUCAUUUCCACAAAGAUUUUAGAAGAAGAAAUUGGAUGCUCAGUUUGCCAAAUUCUUGGAUAUUUUCAAUAAGAUUCAUAUUAACAUCCCAUUUGCUGAUGCUUUUAGAAAAAAUGCAAACUAUGUGAAGUUCAUGAAAGAGGUUAUGUCAAAGAAGAGAAAAUUGAAAAAAAUACAAAACGGUGAAGUUGACAGAAGAAUGCAGUGCAAUUCUUCAAAAGAAGCUCCCUCAGAAAAGAAAGGAUCCAAAUAGCUUCACCAUUCCCUUUACUGUUGGAGACUCUUCUUUUGAUAAAGCUCUUCGUGACCUUGGAGUCAGUCUAAAUCUGAUGCCACUCUCAGUAUUCAAGAAGUUGGGUCUCGGGAAAGAUAAGCCGACAAUGGUGACCUUGUAGUUAGCUGAUCGAUCCAUCACUUAUCCAUGAGGAAUUAUUGAAGAUGCGUUGGUGAAAGUCGACAUAUUUAUUUUCCCAGCAGAUUUUGUAGUGUUGGACAUGGAAGAAGAUUGGGAGAUUUCACUGGUCCUAGGCAGACAUUUCUUAGCAACAUGAAGAGCUUUGAUCGAUGUCCAAGGAGGUCAAUUGACCUCAAGAGUAAAUGAAGAAGAAGUGAGGUUCAAUAUCUAUGGCAAUGCAAUUUCCAGAUGAUACAAAUACAUGCCACAAAAUUGACUUCAUUGAUGCUGUAGUAAAAGAAGAAGAUGUACUCAUUGAAGACCACCUGGAGCAUUGUAUGACGAUGAGUGUAACACCUCAGGAGAGUAUAUGGGCAUCAAAGACCUAGUUGACUACAUAUUAGCUCUUAAAUAUUUGCCAAAUGGAGAUUUUCCAUCACAGAAUGAAGAUAUUCAACAGGCAAUGAAAUUGGAUGAGAAUAAAAACAAUGAAAUUACUAAGACUAAAUUGAAGUAGCUACCUGAUCACCUUCGGUAUGCAUUCUUGGAGGAAAAUUCUACAUAUCCAGUGAUAAUCUCUUUCUCACUCACCAGAGACGAAGAAGACAUAUUAUUAAAUGUGCUGAGAGAACACAAGGCAGCUUUAGAAUGGUCUAUAGUUGAUAUUAAAGGUAUAAGUUUGAUGAUCCGCAUGCACAAAAUUUUCAUGGAAGAAUCCUAUAAACCAUCAAUUGAGCACCAAAGAAGAUUAAAUCCAACAAUGAAAGAAGUGGUGCGAGCAGAGAUACUAAAGCUACUAAAUGCAGGAAUCAUAUUUGCUAUCUCAGACAGUGAAUGGGUCAGUCUAGUACAAGUGGUAUCGAAAAAAGGCGGGAUGACAGUAAUUAAGAAUGAAAACAAUGAGCUAAUCCCAACAAGGAUAGUAACUGGCUAGAUGGUGUGUAUUGAUUAUAGAAAGCUGAACAAGGCAACCAGAAAGGAUCACAUCCCACUUUCGUUCAUCGACCAAUUGUUGGACAGAUUAGCUGGCUACUCCCAUUACUAUUUUCUCGAUGGUUACUCGGUAUACAAUCAGAUUGCAAUCAUACCACAAGACCAAGACUUGCCCAUAUGGAACUUUUGUAUACAGACAGAUGCCUUUUGGGUUAUGCAAUACACCAGCAACAUUCUAGAGAUGCAUGAUGGCAAUCUUUACAGAUAUGAUAGAGGAUAUCAUAGAGGUAUUCAUGGAUGAUUUUUCUGUAUUUGGUGCUUCUUUUGAUAAUUUCCUUCACAAUCCGUCUCUAGUUUUGCAACGUUGUGAAGAAAAGAUUUUAGUUCUUAACUGGGAGAAGUGUUACUUCAUGGUACAAGAAAGCAUCGUUCUUGGCCAACAUGUGUCAGCAAUAGAACUUGUAGUGGACAGAGAAAAUAUCAACACAAUAGCAAAACUGUUACCAUCCAUCAAUGUCAAAGGCAUUCCAAGUUUUUUGGGGCACGCUGGAUUUUUCAGGAGGUUCAUUAAAGACUUUUCAAAGAUAGCUAAACCCUUGUGCAACCUUUUUGGGAAAGAAACCACAUUCAUGUUUGAUGAAAGUUGCCUGAAAGCGUUUGAAGCAAUAAAGGAGAAUUGGUCACAACUCCAGUAAUGGUAGCUCCAGGUUGGGGUCGACCAUUUGAAAUCAUGUGUGAUGCCAGUGAUCAGGCAGUUGAGGCAGUUCUAGGACAAAUGUAUGAAAAGACAGUGAUCAGGCAGUUGAGUAAUUCACUAUGCCAACAAAACUUUGAAUGAAGCUCAGCUGAAUUACACAACAAUAGAGAAGGAAAUGCUAGCAGUGGUUUUUGCUUGUGAUAAAUUCAGAUCCUAUCUCAUUGGUACUAAGGAUAUCAUCUACACAGAUCAUGCCGCCAUCCGCUAUCUCUUUGAAAAGAAAUAUACUAAGCCACGCCUGAUUCGAUGGAUCCUGCUGCUACAAGAAUUCGAUGUGGAGAUUCGGGAUAAGAAAGGUAGUAAGAAUGUUGUUGCUGAUCAUUUUUCACUGCUAGAGAAUGAAAAUGUGACAGAAGAUGGUGUAAUUCAAAAAACUUUUCCAAACGAGUUUCUUUUAGUAGGUUCAACACUGACUCUAUGGUAUGCUGACUUUGUCAACUAUUUGGCGUGUGGAAAAAUGCCACCUAAUUUUACCUUUCAUCAAAGGAAGAAUUUUGACAUGAUGUCAAGUCAUAUUUGUGGGAUGAUCCACUGCUCUUCAAGAGAUGUGCGACAGGAUAAUCAGAAUGUGUAUUCCUAUGGAAGAGACGUAGUCAAUUAUGAAGCAAUAUCAUUCCUCACCUUAUGGAGGUCAUUUUGGUCUUACCCAAACUGCAUCCAAUCGGGAUUCUAUUGGCCAACUCUCUUCAAAGAUUAUUAUGCCUUUGUGAAACAUGUGACCGCUGUCAGCGCAUCGGGAAUAUCUCGAGCUAUCACGAGCUGCCCAUGAUUAAUGUGCUUGAAGUGGAAUUAUUUGAUGUAUGGGGCAUAUACUUCAUGGAUCCCUUUCCACCAUCUUUAAGUCAAGCAUACAUUUUUCUUACAGUGGACUAUGUGUCCAAAAGGGUUGAAGCCAUUGCUACUCCAACAAACGAUGCAAAGGUAGCUUUGAGAUUUUUGCAGAAAAAUAUCUUCACUCGAUUUGGCACUCAUAUAACAAUCGUAAGUGAUGAAGGAACCCAUUUCUGUAAUAAACUUUUCAACUCUUUGUUAGCCAAAUACAAUGUCAGGCACAAAGUAUCACUUGGCUACCACCCCCAGAUAAAUGGGCAAGCAGAAAUUUCUAACCGAGAGAUUAAGCAGAUUUUGGAGAAAACAGUGAACACAAAUCGAAAAUAGAAAGUCUGGGGUGGACAACAUUUGGCCCUGCAACCUAGAGCUACCUCCAUUCCCCUAGUCAAGGAAUUUUACACCAAUGCAAAGGAACAUGAAACUUUAAGGUGUUUGUACGGGGUCAGUGGAUCCGCCUUGAUAAUGCCUCCUAAACAAAUUCUAAAACAUUCGAGCUAUACCCGAGUAUGAUUACUCCAGGUUGCAUGAGGAAGGAGUCGACCUUAAGACCUUACUUUGCACCUUGACUCAAGAAGGGAUUGAAUGGAAACUGAGUGCAAGUAAUGUGACAAAUUUUCCUACUUCGGGCUUGACAGACAAUUGCAAGGCUUGGCACCACUUCAUAAUUGCCAAACUCGUGCCUAGCAGCAACAUUAGUGAGGUGACCAAGGAUCGUGCUCUAUUGAACUAUGCCAUUCAGAAGGGUUACUCAUUUGAUGUCGGCACGGUCAUACAGAAUAGCAUCCUGAGCAUUUUGGCUGGCUCUGUUACCAGUAGUUUGGGAGAUUCAUCACUCAUACAUGAUCUAUGUAUCCAAAGAGGUGUCACCACGAGGGAGUCCAAUGAAGUUUUACACCCUAAGCCCCUUCUCACGCGGGAACUUUGAAAUAAUCUCGAAGGGCGUUGGGACAGGCCCAGUUCAUCUCAACCCUCUGGCCAGGCUCAACAUCUGCACCUACCUUCGCCUAAUGUUACUACGAGGAAUGUCCUUAGGUGACUAGAGGCCAUGGACCUAAGCUUAAUUUAUUGGUAGGAUGGCAUGCAAUCAUAGAUGGAUCACCUAGAGAAAUUAAUCUAUACCCAAUUUCAAUAUUAGAAUGCUUGUAUUGUAGUCAUGGCUUCUACCCAUCUUGAGCUGACUUUACCUUCACUACCACAAUUUCCAUCACAUUCUCACUCUCCAGCCCCACGAGACAGCGAUGGGGACAUUUAGCAUCCUCCUGAGGUAUCUUCCAUACUUUCUUUCAUUUUCAAAUUGAGGACAAUGUGUCAUCUAAAGUCGGGAGAGUUUUCUAAUUUUUAAUUGUUUUGUGUGUUGUCUCUUUAUUUCCAUGUUACACGUGUGCGAAAAAAAAAUCUUUUAUUUUUAUUUUUAUUUUGCAUGUUUGUGUGAGUUGGACAACAUUGUUGACAAUGAUGCAUAUGUUUGAGAAUGUAAAUCGGUGGUGGAUUAUAAAUAGGUUGUGUGCUUGAGUCAGAUUUUUACUUUCCCUUGCAAACAAUUGUGAUUUAACUGCACGAAAAUGGAGUGUAACGUUGGACAAGAGCAGGUCGAUUCAUAAUUGGAAUAGGUUAAACUAGUGACCCUCAUAGAUGAAUUCAAACAACCGCUAAACCUAAAUAAUGCACAUCCCCUAACAAACUUUAGGAUGGUUUAGAUGAUGGAAUUGUUGUAGGGAGACAUGGAUGUGAAUGUGAUUUCCGUGUUUGCUAUCUUCUGUGUGGAUUGUCUAGAUCAAUGUGAUGAAAUUGGGUGAAAACCUUAAGUUAAGGGUCAGUUUUUGAGAAUGGGUGUUUAAUAAGAGGCAUUGCACUAAUCAUUGCAAAAAAAUAAAAAAAUAAAAAAAAUAAUCCCAAGAGGGACAAAUUAAAUAAUAUUUGUGUGAAAUGUAUCAUCGUAGCCUUUAUGACUUGAGUGAUUAAGCCUGUACGGGUUUGAAACCUAUUGCCUAAAGUCACUUGGUUUGGGAUUCACCGGCCUAAAGUUUGCUAUAGGGGUCAUUUACAAAGCUUAAUGGAGAGACGUAUGCACUUGAGAUUCUAAAAAAAAUAAAAAAAUAAAAAAAAUAAAAAAAAUAAAAAAAAAAAGAAAAGAAAAACCACGUUGCAUGCCUUGAUUAAGCCCGGAACACUCGUUUUAGAAGAUUAAGCUUUUGACAAUGUGUGGUAACUUGGUUGAUUAUUGACGGUUGAUGUAAUAAAAAAUAGUAAAAACUUCAUCUACCAAUAGGUUGAAGUACAACAGGGGCAUCCAACUAAGCUAGAGAAGGUAAGGAAUAGAAAUUAACAAACAAACUACAAUUUUUAACUCAGGAAAAAGAGUGAAAAGAAAAUAAGUAUGGGGAUGUGUGAAAUCUCACGAGCGGUGAAAGAAAAUAGUGGACUUUUGCAGUCGGGAAUGAACAAAUCUAGAAAUGUACAACGUUGUACUCUUAUCACACACACAUGUUUGCAUUGGAACUAUAACUUUGAAAUUGAUCAUGAAUUCGAUAUCAUAUUUUCAACGCUGAGCUAUAAAAGAACAAUGUGUCCAAGUGGUUUCUGAAUUUCAUGUCUUGUGUGAUGGAGUGCACUUAUUGUGUUUUGGGUUAACCAUAUUGGUGUGUUAUUUUGUGUUUUCUCGAGGACAAGCAAAGAACUAAGUUUGGGGGUGUUUGAUGAGUCCAAUUCACUUAUCAAUUUAGCACCUUUAAAUCUUAGUUUUUGGGUUAUUGUUGAGCACUUUUGAACUUUUUGAUGUGGGUUUUCAUGUUGUUUUGCAGCUUAGACAACUUUUGGAAAAAUGCCACACUUUGGAGCUUAUAAUGUUGAUCAUAAAAUUGAAGCAUGAAUUGGAGAUAAGAAAAGAAAAAUUGAAGUGAAAACGCGAUGUUGAAGAUGAAAAAUCCAAAUUGAGGCAGUCUAUUAGGCAUCACGGCGCCGGAUGUGGGCCCCAUAGCGCCCAAGUAAUGAGGAUGAUGCCGCAGUGCCCAGCAUGAAAAAGCAACCAGCAGAGAGGCUGGCACUAUGCGCUAUAUCCUGGGCGUCGUGGCACCCAGCACACAUAAAUUAGCGGAGAGGCUGGCGCCGCGGUGCCAUACCUGGGGGCUACAGUGCCAACAGAAGAAAAUGUUGUGGAUCGUGGUGCCAAUAUUGGGCGCUGUGUUCCCCGACACCCAAAAAAGGAAAAUUGAAUUUUUCUUGGCCUAGAUCCAAUCCUUCUUGUCUUGUAACUUUUGGAAGGUAUAAAUACAACGAAGAAGUCCUAAUUGAUAACUCUUGGCGUUGAAAAGACAACUCAAGGCAAAAACAAGAGAAAAAAACACUUCAAGGAUGAAGAUCUACAAUCAGGGAGAAGAUUCGAAGCAUUAACUGAGUUUUUCCUAAUCUCUUAUUCUCCAUGCUCGUUUAUCUGUAUUUUAGAAUUUUAUUUUCAUCAAUUAUGAAAUAAAAUCUUAGAUCUAGGGUUGAUGUAACCUAACUUGAUACAAUGUUUGGAUGUUGAUAUGGUAUUUCUUUAAUUUUUCG
RNAcentral lists this long non-coding RNA (8017 nucleotides) under Olea europaea (common olive). Its description in RNAcentral is "long non-coding RNA (OEUR_LNC006849)". The record is from RNAcentral. Lineage: Eukaryota; Viridiplantae; Streptophyta; Magnoliopsida; Lamiales; Oleaceae.